AACGAACGCUGGCGGCAUGCCUAACACAUGCAAGUCGAACGAUCCCUUCGGGGAUAGUGGCGCACGGGUGCGUAACGCGUGGGAACCUGCCCUUAGGUUCGGAAUAACUCAGAGAAAUUUGAGCUAAUACCGGAUAAUGUCUUCGGACCAAAGAUUUAUCGCCUUUGGAUGGGCCCGCGUUGGAUUAGCUAGUUGGUGGGGUAAAGGCCUACCAAGGCGACGAUCCAUAGCUGGUCUGAGGGGAUGAUCAGCCACACUGGGACUGAGACACGGCCCAGACUCCUACGGGAGGCAGCAGUGGGGAAUAUUGGACAAUGGGCGAAAGCCUGAUCCAGCAAUGCCGCGUGAGUGAUGAAGGCCUUAGGGUUGUAAAGCUCUUUUACCCGGGAUGAUAAUGACAGUACCGGGAGAAUAAGCCCCGGCUAACUCCGUG
This 433-nucleotide ribosomal RNA is filed under the name uncultured bacterium. RNAcentral's name for it is "partial 16S ribosomal RNA". It matches the Rfam family "Bacterial small subunit ribosomal RNA", at positions 29 to 507 of the family's 1533-position model. The record is from RNAcentral.